GAAUAUUGCGCAAUGGGCGAAAGCCUGACGCAGCAACGCCGCGUGGAGGAUGACGGCCUUCGGGUUGUAAACUCCUUUGGGGGGGGACGAGGAAGGACGGUACCCCCAUAACAAGUCCCGGCCAACUACGUGCCAGACGCCGCGGUAAAACGUAGGUGGCGAGCGUUAUCCGGAUUUACUGGGCGUAAAGGGUGUGCAGGCUGCUCCUCAAGUGGUGUAUGAAAGCAUCCGGCUCAACCGGGUCAUGGUAUGCCAGACUGAGGAGCUAGAGAGCGAGAGCGGGACGUGGAAUUCCGGGUGUAGUGGUGAAAUGCGUAGAGAUCCGGAGGAACCCCAGAGGCGAAGGCGGCGUCCUGGCUCGCAUCUGACGCUCAGACACGACAGCAUGGGGAGCGAACGGG
RNAcentral lists this ribosomal RNA (401 nucleotides) under uncultured bacterium. Its description in RNAcentral is "bacterial SSU rRNA". It matches the Rfam family "Bacterial small subunit ribosomal RNA", at positions 359 to 776 of the family's 1533-position model. The record is from RNAcentral.